GCGGUUUGCCGGGAUAAAGGGUCAAACUUUAAAAUAAAACAAGGUAGCACGUUUGUUUGUAGCCGGCACUUUAGUGAAUCAGACUACACUAACGCUACAGCUAGCAACCAACCGGUGUCACAUCAAGCGACUGAAAAUUGGGUAUGUACCCUCCCGUUUCCAGUGAAACAACUGGGGACUGCCUAGAAGGGAGUCUGUUUAUCAAAGAGCAUCAACUCGCUUGGGCCAUGACGUUCACCCAGCCAUUCCUCUGGAGCAACCGCUGCCGUGUGAAUGAGAGCCGAUGGAGGAGAUCGCAGCUUCGGUGGUGAUGACAGAACAUGAUUUCGGUUCUGCUCCUAAACCAGGUGCACUGGAUGCUGCUGCUGCACGCAUACAGCAAUUGGAAGAAACAGUCAAGGAGCUGACGAGAGCUGUCACAGCUGAAAGUGGGUCAAGUGCCUUUUCACAGAUUUUGUGUCUCAGACAAGGACAUCCUUUUUUACACCAGAUUCACAUCAAGAGAUUUUUUGUGACUUCUGUGAGGCUAUUCAACCAUCUGCCUCCAUGUUGGUUUAUUGGUCGAAAGCUCAGAAAAAGAAACAAAACAUUUGAACCCAUUUCUCCCAGUCCAACGCGUAGACUGCAACUGGUUGAGUUUUUUCUCUUCUGCUGCCGGGUUGCUGCAGGCCUGCAAGAGAAGGUGCAGGCUGACAUGUUUCAGGUCAGUGUGUCCACUGUCUCCCAUGUUGUUAUAACGUGGGCCAACUACCGUUACCUGCUCCUUGGCUCCCUCCCCAUCUGGAUGAGUAAACAGCAAGUCAAGAACACCAUGCCAAGCAAAUUUGUGCAGUACAGUCCAGAUGUUCGGGUAAUCAUCGACUGCACCAAGCUGAUAGCAGAAUCCAUCAUCCCUCACCCUCCAAUCUGAGGUUUUCUCAUCUUACAAUAACACAACAACCUUUAAGGCCUUGAUUGGGAUUGCCCCUUGUAGUGCUGUGACUUUUGUGUCAAGUCUCUUCACCGGCUCCAUCUCCGACCGAGAGCUGACUGAACGAAGUGGACUGCUGGAUUUACUGGAGCCAGGAGAUGGCUGCAUGGCAGACAAGGGUUUCACCAUCGAGAAGCCACUAGCUGAUCGUGGGGCAACGCUGAUUAUACCACCCUUCAAGAUGACAGGUAGGCAUGAAAGGAAUGAACAUUUCAAAUUAAAACUGUGACCCAAAUGUGACCAUUAAGAUAUGUAGACAAAUGUUUAAGAUGGACUGAAGCACUCACAAUAAUCGUAUCCCUAACCAUUGCGCAGUUCACCGAAGAGGAUGCUCUGAAAACACAAGCAAUCGCCCGACUUCGAAUCCUCGUGGAAAGAGCAAUACGCCGAGUCAAGGAAUACCGCAUCUGGGAACGCACUGUCCUCUCACCUUGUCUGGGACAGUCAACCAGCUGUGGACCGUCUGCUGUGUGAUGACCAACUUCCAGGGACCACUGGAUUUCAAAGGCUACAUCCCUGUUGAAUAGUGUUUCUACUCAAACAUGUACCUAUAAAUAUUAAAUAUAAUAUAUAAAUAUUAAAACGAGAGACACUGAACAUUUGGAGUGGUCCCUUCAUUUUUUCCGGAGCUGUAAUUCUGUAUACUGAAAACAUUGUAUAUAUCGAAUGACAUGUAUGUAAUUGAAUGA
Molecule: long non-coding RNA, 1659 nt
Filed under: Gadus morhua (Atlantic cod)
Lineage: Eukaryota; Metazoa; Chordata; Actinopteri; Gadiformes; Gadidae
Description: lncRNA (ENSGMOG00000036328.1)
Source: RNAcentral